Molecule: ribosomal RNA, 201 nt
Filed under: uncultured bacterium
Lineage: Bacteria
Description: partial 16S ribosomal RNA
Rfam family: Bacterial small subunit ribosomal RNA
Source: RNAcentral
ACGCUCGACACCUACGGGAGGCNGCAGUUAGGAAUAUUGGGCAAUGGAGGAAACUCUGACCCAGCAACGCCGCGUGAAGGAAGAAGGUUUUCGGAUUGUAAACUUCUGAUCUAGGGGAAGAAGGAAGUGACGGUACCCUAGGAGAAAGCCACGGCUAACUACGUACCAGCAGCCGCGGUAAUCUGAGCGGGCUGGCAAGGC